UUCGCAAUGCCCGAAAGGGUGACGAAGCGACGCCGCGUGUGGGAAGAAGGCCUUCGGGUUGUAAACCACUGUCGGGAGUUAAGAAAUGCAAGAAUAUGAAUAGUGUUUUUGCUUGACUAAGGCUCCGGAGGAAGCCACGGCUAACUCUGUGCCAGCAGCCGCGGUAAUACAGAGGCGGCAAGCGUUGUUCGGAAUUAUUGGGCGUAAAGAGCACGUAGGCGGCUAUGUAAGUCGGUUGUGAAAGCCUUCCGCUCAACGGGAGAACGGCAUCCGAUACUACAUGGCUUGAGUGCGGGAGGGGAGAGUGGAACUUCUGGUGGAGCGGUGAAAUGCGUAGAUAUCAGAAGGAACGCCGGCGGCGAAAGCGGCUCUCUGGCCCAUAACUGACGCUGAGUGUGCGAAAGCUAGGGGAGCAAACGGGAUUAGAUACCCCGGUAGUCCUAGCCGUAAACGAUGGGCACUAAGUAGAGGGGUUUU
Molecule: ribosomal RNA, 477 nt
Filed under: uncultured bacterium
Lineage: Bacteria
Description: bacterial SSU rRNA
Rfam family: Bacterial small subunit ribosomal RNA
Source: RNAcentral